This 1409-nucleotide ribosomal RNA is filed under the name bacterium NLAE-zl-G409. RNAcentral's name for it is "bacterial SSU rRNA". It matches the Rfam family "Bacterial small subunit ribosomal RNA". The record is from RNAcentral.
GGCUACCAUGCAGUCGAGGGGCAGCAUUUUAGUUUGCUUGCAAACUAAAGAUGGCGACCGGCGCACGGGUGAGUAACACGCUAUCCAACCUGCCGAUAACUCGGGGAUAGCCUUUCGAAAGAAAGAUUAAUAUCCGAUAGUAUAUUAAAACCGCAUGGUUUUACUAUUAAAGAAUUUCGGUUAUCGAUGGGGAUGCGUUCCAUUAGUUUGUUGGCGGGGUAACGGCCCACCAAGACUACGAUGGAUAGGGGUUCUGAGAGGAAGGUCCCCCACAUUGGAACUGAGACACGGUCCAAACUCAUACGGGAGGCAGCAGUGAGGAAUAUUGGUCAAUGGACGAGAGUCUGAACCAGCCAAGUAGCGUGAAGGAUGACUGCCCUAUGGGUUGUAAACUUCUUUUAUAUGGGAAUAAAGUAUUCCACGUGUGGGAUUUUGUAUGUACCAUAUGAAUAAGGAUCGGCUAACUCCGUGCCAGCAGCCGCGGUAAUACGGAGGAUCCGAGCGUUAUCCGGAUUUAUUGGGUUUAAAGGGAGCGUAGGUGGAUUGUUAAGUCAGUUGUGAAAGUUUGCGGCUCAACCGUAAAAUUGCAGUUGAAACUGGCAGUCUUGAGUACAGUAGAGGUGGGCGGAAUUCGUGGUGUAGCGGUGAAAUGCUUAGAUAUCACGAAGAACUCCGAUUGCGAAGGCAGCUCACUAGACUGCAACUGACACUGAUGCUCGAAAGUGUGGGUAUCAAACAGGAUUAGAUACCCUGGUAGUCCACACAGUAAACGAUGAAUACUCGCUGUUUGCGAUAUACAGUAAGCGGCCAAGCGAAAGCAUUAAGUAUUCCACCUGGGGAGUACGCCGGCAACGGUGAAACUCAAAGGAAUUGACGGGGGCCCGCACAAGCGGAGGAACAUGUGGUUUAAUUCGAUGAUACGCGAGGAACCUUACCCGGGCUUAAAUUGCAUUUGAAUAAUCUGGAAACAGGUUAGCCGCAAGGCAAAUGUGAAGGUGCUGCAUGGUUGUCGUCAGCUCGUGCCGUGAGGUGUCGGCUUAAGUGCCAUAACGAGCGCAACCCUUAUCUUUAGUUACUAACAGGUCAUGCUGAGGACUCUAGAGAGACUGCCGUCGUAAGAUGUGAGGAAGGUGGGGAUGACGUCAAAUCAGCACGGCCCUUACGUCCGGGGCUACACACGUGUUACAAUGGGGGGUACAGAAGGCAGCUACCUGGCGACAGGAUGCUAAUCCCAAAAACCUCUCUCAGUUCGGAUCGAAGUCUGCAACCCGACUUCGUGAAGCUGGAUUCGCUAGUAAUCGCGCAUCAGCCAUGGCGCGGUGAAUACGUUCCCGGGCCUUGUACACACCGCCCGUCAAGCCAUGAAAGCCGGGGGUACCUGAAGUACGUAACCGCAAGGAGCUCCUAGG